AUUGAACGCUGGCGGCAUGCUUUACACAUGCAAGUCGAACGGCAGCGCGGGCUUCGGCCUGGCGGCGAGUGGCGAACGGGUGAGUAAUACAUCGGAACGUGCCCAGUAGUGGGGGAUAGCUCGGCGAAAGCCGGAUUAAUACCGCAUACGACCUGAGGGUGAAAGCGGGGAUCUUCGGACCUCGCGCUAUUGGAGCGGUCGAUGGCAGAUUAGCUAGUUGGUGGGGUAAAGGCCUACCAAGGCGACGAUCUGUAGCUGGUCUGAGAGGACGACCAGCCACACUGGGACUGAGACACGGCCCAGACUCCUACGGGAGGCAGCAGUGGGGAAUUUUGGACAAUGGGCGAAAGCCUGAUCCAGCAAUGCCGCGUGUGUGAUGAAGGCCUUCGGGUUGUAAAGCACUUUUGGCGGGAACGAAAAGGACUGUGCCAAUACCACGGUUCGAUGACGGUACCCGCAGAAUAAGCACCGGCUAACUACGUG
Molecule: ribosomal RNA, 483 nt
Filed under: uncultured bacterium
Lineage: Bacteria
Description: partial 16S ribosomal RNA
Rfam family: Bacterial small subunit ribosomal RNA
Source: RNAcentral